Molecule: non-coding RNA, 244 nt
Organism: Pelobates cultripes (western spadefoot toad)
Lineage: Eukaryota; Metazoa; Chordata; Amphibia; Anura; Pelobatidae
Source: the annotation of a GenBank genome assembly
UAUAAAAGCGCCAAUUUCAGUUGAAAUCUGUCCUUUUUGUAAAUUGACAACAACAAAAAGAGACAUUUACACAAAAAGCAAGUCAGCAAACUGGGCAUCUGGGGUUUCCAUUUAAGGAACACUGCAAAUGGUUUAAAUGUAGUACAUACUGUUUCCAGAAGGUGUCACUGUGCCACCCCAGCAGAAAUGUAUUCCAUUUUAACUACACAAUGUCACACCACAUGCUGUCAACAUAAUGAGCGGC